This 483-nucleotide ribosomal RNA is filed under the name uncultured Anaeroplasma sp. Its description in RNAcentral is "partial 16S ribosomal RNA". The record is from RNAcentral. Lineage: Bacteria; Bacillati; Mycoplasmatota; Mollicutes; Anaeroplasmatales; Anaeroplasmataceae.
CACGUAGUUAGCCGGAGCUUAUUCCUCAGGUACCGUCAAAUUCCUCUUUCUUCCCUGAUAAAAGAACUUUACAUUACGAAUAACUUCUUCGUUCACGCGGCGUUGCUCGGUCAGGGUUCCCCCCGAUUGCCGAAAAUUCCCUACUGCUGCCUCCCGUAGGAGUAUGGACCGUUCUCAGUUCCAUUGUGGCCGUUCAACCUCUCAGUCCGGCUACGCAUCAUCGCCUUGGUAGGCCCUUACCCCACCAACUAGCUAAUGCGCCACAGGCCCCUCCUUAAGCAGAUCUCUCUUUUAAAUAUAAAAGAUUCUUCCUCUAUAUCCUAUCCAGUUUUAUCCAUCGUUUCCAAUGGCUAUCCUCGUCUUAAGGGUAGGUUACCUAUGUAUUACUCACCCGUUCGCCACUAAAGUACCCGAAGGUACUUCCGUUCGACUUGCAUGUAUUAGGCACGCCGCCAGCGUUAAUCCUGAGCCAGGAUCAAACUC